UCUAAAAUCGAUAAAACAAUAGUAACAGGGGUGAGUCUUCCACCAAAGAGCGAAACUUUCCUUUUCAAGAGGCCAAUUUGGAUUCCACCCUAAGGAUAAGAGGGAUCCAAUCAAAUUUAGAUAACUUACCAUCUUUUAUGGGGAGGCUAGGUUAAGUGAAUGAUAGUAGAGAUAUGUUGUAAUUGAGCCAUGAAGCACAAUCCGCUACAU
This 210-nucleotide long non-coding RNA is filed under the name Elaeis guineensis (African oil palm). RNAcentral's name for it is "long non-coding RNA (EGUI_LNC007079)". The record is from RNAcentral. Lineage: Eukaryota; Viridiplantae; Streptophyta; Magnoliopsida; Arecales; Arecaceae.